This 202-nucleotide long non-coding RNA is filed under the name Elaeis guineensis (African oil palm). RNAcentral describes it as "long non-coding RNA (EGUI_LNC054763)". Lineage: Eukaryota; Viridiplantae; Streptophyta; Magnoliopsida; Arecales; Arecaceae. The record is from RNAcentral.
CCACCUUACAAAGAUGGUCAUCUUCAAGUAUCACACUCCUCUCAUCGAUUUUAGUGUAUAUAGUGAAUCAAGACCAAUUCAGUGUGUCGUGGUCAGAAUAGGCUGAAUCUAGGGUUUAAAUUUUUAUGUUGCUCUUGUGACCAUUCGAAACCACUAAGAGGUCAUCCUCCACCUCAAGAUCAGCCGUGACACUUAGCGAAUC